Molecule: RNA transcript, 2365 nt
Organism: Brachypodium distachyon (stiff brome)
Lineage: Eukaryota; Viridiplantae; Streptophyta; Magnoliopsida; Poales; Poaceae
Exons: 5
Source: RefSeq, a predicted model, not a curated record
CCGUUCCUCCGUAAAUCUUACCCCACGAGGCCACGACCGCCGUUCCUCCGUAAAUCUUACACACGACCACCCCUCCCACCACCCCCAAAUCGUGUGCGUGCGGUUCGGGUAGAAUCGGUGCGGCCGGCGGCGAUUGGCGGCAGACGAAUUACGGCGCGCGAGAGCACAAUCGUAGCGGCGGCGCCGGCGGUGCCGCGGUCGGCCACGGCAGAGCGGCGGCCGCUAGGGCCUGAACCAGGAGCAGCUCGACUCAACUGAGCCGGACCAGAGUGCUCCGCCAAUGGUUCCUCUCCUAUUUGCUCGUGGGAUGCUGGGGAUGAGCCGGAUGGAGGUUACGGCGCGCGGCGGGGAAGGAUCGUCGCUGCAGCUGGAGGGGAGCAGCUGCGGAGACGGCGAGCUGGCGGGGGCGCAUGUGCGGUGGCGGCUGUACCGGGAGAGCACGUUGGCGCGGCACACGGGGCUGCGCGGCGCCAUGGCCGACCUCUCCUUCCUGCUCGCGAGGGGGGCGCCCAACCUCCUGGGGUUCCUUCGCUCCACCGCCUCCGCCUCCGGCUACUCGCAGCUGCUCCUUUUCCGCCACUCCCAGUCCAUCCCUGAUCUCCAAGGCUUUGAUAUUGCAAUUACCAGUGGGUGCUUUGAUGUUGGAUCAAGCUGUCUUGCACCUGUUCGGAAUGCCUGUGAGAGUGUUUUUUUUUGGGUAUACUGCAGGCUUGCGCACUACUGACCAUGAUUCCACCUGUUAAUAGAUUGUUUGGAUUUCCACUGGUUUUUACUAUGUUUAGAUUAUCAAGAAUGCAAUGCUUACUGUGUUUAAAAUUCAUUUUCCAUGAUUCUCAAUGAUAUAUGACUGAAAAAAAGGGUCUCAAUGACAUAGGAAGGCUCUGGCCUUGGGAGGCUUGCUCGUUGUCUAUUUUGGGGAAUCAGGUUCUGAUUCCAUUAGAAACGGGAACGCAAUAGAGGCAAUCUUUUCCUGUUUGCAAGAUGAUCUGCAUAUAUGACCUGCUAUGAAAUUUAGGCUAUUGUGUACAUGUAUGUCUUAUUUAUUUAUUUCCAGACUGAGUAGAUUUCGUGGAUCUAUUUGUAAUCUCAAACUAAAAGCAUUUACCAAUAUUUUUACCUAAACUCAAACAACACGUCAGAACUAUGUUUUAUCUAUUCAUAGAACAUUGGAAGAUGUUGUCUUCUUAUUUUCUAGCACAACUGUUUCGAGAGCCUGAUGUGAUUAUUUAAUUACAACUAGUAAUUACUCUACUUGUUCGUGCAAGCUAAUUUCAUCAAGCUGUAUACAAGAUAUGUAAUCACACCAGUUUUUACUGAAUACUACUAGGUGGGUAGAAUUGUGCUGUAGGAUCGAGGUUGUCCAGUCUGUCGUAAACAGGGGAAAAACUAUUCAGACCGGUCAGAUUUCACUGGCUAUGAAAACGCGUUAUUCCAGCUAGAGAGCAGCCUUCAUGGCAGGGCAACCAAGAUCCGUGGUCCUGUCCAUGGAUCUGACCAUGGGCAUGAAGUGUGAAGUCGUCGAGGGCUGGAAGAUAUGCAAGAGUGGCUGCAGCACUUUAGGGGCAAGGGCAAUAGAUAUGCAUAUACACAUUACGCAUGAUGCCUUCUGUGAAACCCGUCACUUAUUCCUGUCUCUAUUUUACUUGUUUUGUCAAAAAUCCUUAGGGUAUGGAUGUUCCCUCCCACUUCAUCAAUAGCAGAGGAAGCUCUUCACGCAUCGCCUGGGUUAGCCGUUGAGAUAUGGAUUUUAUGGAGAAGUUAUAAGGGAGUGUCAAAACUACGGAUGGAUUGGCCCUGCACGCCAUGAUUUUUCUGGAGCAAUGGUCUUUCUGAAGCACAGAUCUUAUGAGGCAAAAGUGGCUUUUUUCUUGAGAAUAUUAGCACUCCUUUACUUAUGGCUUCAGAAGGGAAUGUUGCAAAUGGAGCACAGACACUACAAUCUCGUCAAAAAAGGCCUCCAAAGAUCAUCCGCCGAACAAAUUGUUAUAGAUGCAAAGAAAUUUUAACACAUGGACAAAGUUCAGGAGACGGGUCCCAGAUAGCUCUUGCAAUUUGUCACGGCUCUUUCAGAGUAGUUGGCAUUGGAAGGUGAUCACAAUACCUAUUCCGAAAUUACUUAACUGUGCUGAGUUACUUCUCAGUUCUCAACCAAAGGAAAGUACUUUAUGUCCGUUUACUUUCACUCAAGUGGAACUUAGGCAUCACAGAAGCUAGAGCGACACAGGAAAUAUACUUCAAAACCUUUUUUUUUUGUAUUCUUGAAAUUGUCAGUUCGUAAGAAGCAAGAGGGACACAGAACAUAUACAUAAAAAACCAUUUGUCUUGUUACAUCUUACAUGUUGAAAUUGUCUCCCAUUUUAAGGAA